GCCACUAUCAUUUUAGUGACGCUUAUGGAGAUCUUCACAUAAGUCACCUAUCAGAGUCAGCAUUUUACAGGCAUAGUACUACUGUGCUCACUUGUUUCUAUCACUUGCUGAAUUGCUCAGUUCCAUGUACAGCAAAUAAUUUUGCUAUCACUGCUGUCAUUGGUACAUUUAGUGGUUUGGGUGAUCUUUAUUUUGCUUCAAGAUGACCAUAUGAAGAAUCCAUGGAGUACAAAGGCAUGUUUUGCUUAACUUGAAUUCAGAUAGGUAGGUAUCCACUAAAGUUUUUUUUAUGUAUGUUCAUAUGCUUAACAAAAAUUUCUAGGCAAUUUGUGGAACAGUCCCUUAUUAAUGAUGCUCUUGACAAUAGCAACAUGGUUUCUUCCUUUCCAGAAAACAGCAGGGUAGACAUUAUAUAAACAUAAUCUUCCUGUAAAUCUUUUCCUGUGAUUGAACCAGGAUAAUUAGAUCUAGUUUUGCCAAAACCACCAGCAACAUAAUUCUAUGAAACUGUCUGGAGCUGAAGGCUAAUAAUUUCAAAAGUAAAUACAAUAUUUACAUUCAUCAGCCUAAUGGAAACAUAAUAAAGAUGUAGAAAAAAGUAUAGUCUAUUAUAAAAGCUGCU
Molecule: long non-coding RNA, 622 nt
Filed under: Gallus gallus (chicken)
Lineage: Eukaryota; Metazoa; Chordata; Aves; Galliformes; Phasianidae
Description: lncRNA (ENSGALG00010026153.1)
Source: RNAcentral